Molecule: ribosomal RNA, 440 nt
Filed under: uncultured bacterium
Lineage: Bacteria
Description: partial 16S ribosomal RNA
Rfam family: Bacterial small subunit ribosomal RNA
Source: RNAcentral
CCUACGGGUGGCAGCAGUGGGGAAUAUUGCACAAUGGGGGAAACCCUGAUGCAGCGACGCCGCGUGAGUGAAGAAGUAUUUCGGUACGUAAAGCUCUAUCAGCAGGGAAGAAAAUGACGGUACCUGACUAAGAAGCCCCGGCUAACUAAGUGCCAGCCGCCGCGGUAAUACGUAGGGGGCAAGCGUUAUCCGGAUUUACUGGGUGUAAAGGGAGCGUAGACGGCAGCGCAAGUCUGGAGUGAAAUCCCAUGGCUUAACCAUGGAACUGCUUUGGAAACUGUGCAGCUAGAGUGCAGGAGAGGUAAGCGGAAUUCCUAGUGUAGCGGUGAAAUGCGUAGAUAUUAGGAGGAACACCAGUGGCGAAGGCGGCUUACUGGACUGUAACUGACGUUGAGGCUCGAAAGCGUGGGGAGCAAACAGGAUUAGAUACCCCAGUAGUC